AACGAACGCUGGCGGCGCGUCUUAAGCAUGCAAGUCGAACGGUAAGGGAGAGCUUGCUCUCCCCUAGAGUGGCGGACUGGUGAGUAACGCGUGGGUGACCUGCCCUGAAGAUGGGGAUAGCUAGUAGAAAUAUUAGAUAAUACCGAAUGUGCUCAUUUACAUAAAGGUAAAUGAGGAAAGGAGCUACGGCUCCGCUUCAGGAUGGGCCCGCGUCCCAUUAGCUGGUUGGUGAGGUAAAGGCCCACCAAGGCAACGAUGGGUAUCCGGCCUGAGAGGGUGAACGGACACAUUGGGACUGAGAUACGGCCCAAACUCCUACGGGAGGCAGCAGCUAAGAAUCUUCCGCAAUGGACGAAAGUCUGACGGAGCGACGCCGUGUGAAUGAAGAAGGCCGAAAGGUUGUAAAAUUCUUUUGCAGAUGAAGAAUAAGAAGAAGAGGGAAUGCUUCUUUGAUGACGGUAGUCAUGCGAAUAAGCCCCGGCUAAUUACGUGCCAGCAGCCGCGGUAACACGUAAGGGGCGAGCGUUGUUCGGAAUUAUUGGGCGUAAAGGGUAUGUAGGCGGUUAGGUAAGCCUGGUGUGAAAUCUACGAGCUCAACUCGUAAACUGCAUUGGGUACUGCUUGACUUGAAUCACGGAGGGGAAACCGGAAUUCCAAGUGUAGGGGUGGAAUCUGUAGAUAUUUGGAAGAACACCGGUGGCGAAGGCGGGUUUCUGGCCGAUGAUUGACGCUGAUAUACGAAGGUGCGGGGAGCAAACAGG
This 761-nucleotide ribosomal RNA is filed under the name uncultured Treponema sp. Its description in RNAcentral is "bacterial SSU rRNA". It matches the Rfam family "Bacterial small subunit ribosomal RNA", at positions 28 to 776 of the family's 1533-position model. Lineage: Bacteria; Pseudomonadati; Spirochaetota; Spirochaetia; Treponematales; Treponemataceae. The record is from RNAcentral.